CUUUUCCACUUCAGAGGGCUGGAUUGCAAGGGACAGAAGCCUCUGGGGGAAUACAAAUGUCAGCUAAAGCCAGGAAGUAGAGGACGUGACUCAAGGAACAGGCCUCGAGAACUAUUUUAAUUUUUGGAAGGACAACAAGAGUUUCAAGAGUUUCAGGAAUACAAUGUCAAUAAGAAGACCCUAGGCUGCUGGACCAAAUGGAGUAGGAGAGGAAUAGAACAUGAAGUGUAACCCGAUCUGGAAUAACAGGCUACACACAUUCUAUGGGUCUCUUACUGAGAACCCUGGUUGGGGGGGGGGGGGGGAAGGAGGGUGGGUGGACGGACAGGAAGGUCAGAGAUGGGGCUAACUCGGCUUAGCAGCUUUAAUCAAAUGCCCUUUAGCUUCUUCUUUGAUUUUACCCAUGAAUUAUGAUGCAUGAGACUCAUUUCUCCUGGCCCUGGUCAAAUUUCAGUCAUAAAACUUGUUUUGUUUUUGAAAGGACUGAGACAAAUUUUUAUGCAGAACAGCACGUCAAAGUAAAGCUAACGAAGCCGAUGGGAAGUUUGACCUCAGCUGAGCAAAACAGCCAGACGGUUCAGAGAUACAAUGUUGCAGAUCAAGAGUCAAACAAUCUCGGGUUAUCUCACUCCUUUUAACAGCCAUUUUCUUUCGACCUUUGUGUCUGACCCAACAUCCUGUGAGUGCGGGGUGGGGGUUGGGGUUGGGGGUGGGGUGGGAAACUCUUGGGAAGUAUUUCUAACUUUAACUGCUAACCCCCAAAGCUAAGAAUGUUAUAAGAUGGUAUCUGAAUCCUAUAGAAACAAUCUCCUUGCUUAGUGUCAGGACACCUGCCGGAUGCUCCCGCCAACAUGCCUGCUACAUGUGUUGCUUUAUGAAGCUCUUUGUUCUGUGGCUAUGACAGUUCAUGCUUCUUUUCCCGUGGUGGGAGUGUAUGUGAGGGAACAGGUCAUUCCAGGUAACUUGGACCCGUGUUCCCAGCCCAUGCUCACUCCUCUUUAGCUCAGAAUAAACGGUUUCCUUAUAUCCUUUAAAGCA
Molecule: long non-coding RNA, 1038 nt
Filed under: Mus spicilegus (steppe mouse)
Lineage: Eukaryota; Metazoa; Chordata; Mammalia; Rodentia; Muridae
Description: lncRNA (ENSMSIG00000022338.1)
Source: RNAcentral